Molecule: ribosomal RNA, 497 nt
Filed under: uncultured bacterium
Lineage: Bacteria
Description: partial 16S ribosomal RNA
Rfam family: Bacterial small subunit ribosomal RNA
Source: RNAcentral
GAUGAACGCUGGCGGCGUGCCUAAUACAUGCAAGUCGAGCGAACAGACGAGGAGCUUGCUCCUCUGACGUUAGCGGCGGACGGGUGAGUAACACGUGGAUAACCUACCUAUAAGACUGGGAUAACUUCGGGAAACCGGAGCUAAUACCGGAUAAUAUAUUGAACCGCAUGGUUCAAUAGUGAAAGACGGUUUUGCUGUCACUUAUAGAUGGAUCCGCGCCGCAUUAGCUAGUUGGUAAGGUAACGGCUUACCAAGGCAACGAUGCGUAGCCGACCUGAGAGGGUGAUCGGCCACACUGGAACGGAGACACGGUCCAGACUCCUACGGGAGGCAGCAGUAGGGAAUCUGCCGCAAUGGGCGAAAGCCUGACGGAGCAACGCCGCGUGAGUGAUGAAGGUCUUCGGAUCGUAAAACGCUGUUAUUAGGGAAGAACAAAUGUGUAAGUAACUAUGCACGUCUUGACGGUACCUAAUCAGAAAGCCACGGCUAACUACGUG